RNAcentral lists this unclassified non-coding RNA (296 nucleotides) under uncultured fungus. RNAcentral describes it as "partial contains small subunit ribosomal RNA, internal transcribed spacer 1, and 5.8S ribosomal RNA". The stretch from base 1 to 73 matches the Rfam family "Eukaryotic small subunit ribosomal RNA", at positions 1759 to 1831 of the family's 1831-position model. Lineage: Eukaryota; Fungi. The record is from RNAcentral.
UCAAACUUGGUCAUUUAGAGGAAGUAAAAGUCAUAACAAGGUUUCUGUAGGUGAACCUGCAGAAGGAUCAUUAGAGAAUUUUUAGGGAUUGAUUUCGAUCUUCCCGAACCUUUUUUUCUUAUCCUAAACACCUGUGCAUCGUGGAGUGUGUAGUACUAUACACUCCACAAUUCUUAUCACACAAACUCUAUGUUUUUUUUGAACGUAAAACAAGUGUUAAUUUUAUUUAACCAAAUAACAAAUUAAUAACUUUUGACAACGGAUCUCUUGGUUCUCCCAUCGAUGAAGAACGCAGC